AAUAGAUACCCCGGUAGUCCAUGCCGUAAACGUUGGCACUAGGUGUGGGACCCCCUCAACGGGUUCCGUGCCGUAGCUAACGCAUUAAGUGCCCCGCCUGGGGAGUACGGCCGCAAGGCUAAAACUCAAAGGAAUUGACGGGGGCCCGCACAAGCAGCGGAGCAUGCUGCUUAAUUCGAGGCAACGCGAAGAACCUUACCUGGGUUUGACAUGUACGGAAAAGCCACAGAGAUGUGGUGUCCUUUUUGGGCCGUACACAGGUGGUGCAUGGUUGUCGCCAGCUCGUGUCAUGAGAUGUUGGGUUAAGUCCCGCAACGAGCGCAACCCUUGUCCUAUGUUGCCAGCGGGUAAUGCCGGGGACUCGUAGGAGACUGCCGGGGACAACUCGGAGGAAGGUGGGGAUGACGUCAAAUCAUCAUGCCCCUUAUGUCCAGGGCUGCAAACAUGCUACAAUGGCCAGUACAAAGGGCUGCUAUACCGCGGAGGUUGAGCGAAUCCCACAAAGCUGGUCUCAGUUCGGAUUGGAGU
RNAcentral lists this ribosomal RNA (528 nucleotides) under uncultured bacterium. RNAcentral's name for it is "bacterial SSU rRNA". It matches the Rfam family "Bacterial small subunit ribosomal RNA", at positions 777 to 1304 of the family's 1533-position model. The record is from RNAcentral.